CUUGUUAGUGGGGGAUAACGUUUCGGGAAACCGGACGUUAAUACCGCAUAACNUCNUACGGGAGAAAGCAGGGGACCUUCGGGCCCUUGCGNUAUCAGAUGAGCCUAGGUCGGAUUAGCUAGUUGGUGGGGUAAUGGCUCACCAAGGCGACGAUCCGUAACUGGUCUGAGAGGAUGAUCAGUCACACUGGAACUGAGACACGGUCCAGACUCCUACGGGAGGCAGCAGUGGGGAAUAUUGGACAAUGGGCGAAAGCCUGAUCCAGCCAUGCCGCGUGUGUGAAGAAGGUCUUCGGAUUGUAAAGCACUUUAAGUUGGGAGGAAGGGUUGUAGAUUAAUACUCUGCAAUUUUGACGUUACCGACAG
This 365-nucleotide ribosomal RNA is filed under the name uncultured bacterium. Its description in RNAcentral is "bacterial SSU rRNA". It matches the Rfam family "Bacterial small subunit ribosomal RNA", at positions 129 to 484 of the family's 1533-position model. The record is from RNAcentral.